Molecule: long non-coding RNA, 1070 nt
Filed under: Homo sapiens (human)
Lineage: Eukaryota; Metazoa; Chordata; Mammalia; Primates; Hominidae
Description: HSALNT0161565
Source: RNAcentral
GUCAAGAACAGACAGAGUCGCUUGAGGACUCAGGAGGGUGUUUGCUGCGUUGACAACAGACUACACCCUCACAGUUUGCUCUGCUCUUCCAACACCAGUGGAAGAUGAUCACAUCCCAGGUAAGUUGUUUAUUUUUUCACCGUUUUGCUUAAAAGUAAUUAUUGAGGUUUAAAAAAUGUCUAUACAUUCAUAUGAAAGUAGAAAUAACAUCAGGGAAAAUAUAGAGGAGAGGUCACAUUACAUUUCAUGGGUCAAAUGCAGCCUGCCGCAUGUUUUUUUAUGGUCCACAAACGAAGGAUGGUUUUUAUAUUUUUAGGUGGCUGAGGGAAAAAAAACAAGAAUUAUAUGAAAUUCAGAUUUCAUUAUAUAUAAAGUUUUAUUGGGACUCAGCUAUACUCAUGUAUUUAUGUGUUGUCUGUUGGUACUUUCAUACUAUGAGGGCAGAGUUGACUGGUUGCAGCAGAGACUGUAAUGGCCCACAAGCCUAAAAUAUUUACUGUGAGACCCUUUACAGAAAAUGUUUGCUGAUUUCUGAUAAAGAGUUGAUGAAGAGUAAAACAAAAAUGUCAUGUAAGUGAAUGCAGAUCUUGUGAUCUCACAGAGUUGUGAAACUGGAACAUAAAACAGUUUGUCAAUGGGCUUUAUUAGGUGACACUGUGAAACUUCUGAUGACAAUCUUGCAGUUACAUGAAAAAGUAGUACAACGAAGUGAAUAAUUCAUGUGCAGUCCAGGGGAAAACUUAAGCGAUAUCAAGAGAAAGUAUGUGAUUAAAAAAUUCAAAUAGGCCGGGCUAGGUGGCUCAUGCCUAUAAUCCCAACACUUUGGGAGGGCGAGGUGGGUGGAUCAUGAGGUCAGGAGUCCGAGACCAGCCUGACCAACAUGGUGAAACCCCGUCUCUACUAAAAAUACAAAAAUUAGCUUGGCAUGUUGGCGUGCACCUGUAAUCCCAGCUAGUCAGGAGGCUGAGGCAGGAGAAUCGCUUGAACCCAGGAGGCGGAGGGUGCAGUGAGCCGAGAUUGAGAUUGCACCACUGCACUCCAGCCUGGGUGACAGAGUGAGACUCUGUCUC